RNAcentral lists this ribosomal RNA (423 nucleotides) under uncultured bacterium. RNAcentral describes it as "partial 16S ribosomal RNA". It matches the Rfam family "Bacterial small subunit ribosomal RNA", at positions 360 to 775 of the family's 1533-position model. The record is from RNAcentral.
AAUUUUGGACAAUGGGGGAAACCCUGAUCUAGCCAUCCCGCGUGUAUGAUGAAGGCCUUCGGGUUGUAAAGUACUUUUUGCAGAGAAGAAAAGGUAUCUCCUAAUACGAGAUACUGCUGACGGCAUCUACAGAAUAAGCACGGGCCAACUCCGUGCCAGCCGCCGCGGUAAUACUUAGGGUGCAAGCGUUAAACGGAACUACUGGGCGUAAAGCGUGUGUAGGCGGUUCGGAAAGAAAGAUGUGAAAUCCCAGGGCUCAACCUUGGAACUGCAUUUUUAACUGCCGAGCUAGAGUAUGUCAGAGGGGGGUAGAAUUCCACGUGUAGCAGUGAAAUGCGUAGAUAUGUGGAGGAAUACCGAUGGCGAAGGCAGCCCCCUGGGAUAAUACUGACGCUCAGACACGAAAGCGUGGGGAGCAAACAG